UUCUAUGAUAUAUAAAUAUGCAUAUGUAUAUAUAUAUAUAUAUAUUAAUGAGAGCCAUAAUCUUUUUCUCGAUGAACGUCGAUUUUUAUCGAGCAUUAUGACGAGUUUGUAAAUGCGUAGGAAACGGACGUAAAUAUAUAAGUGUAUGCAUAUAUAUACACGUGUACCAGAUAUGAAGACAACGUGUUUCUUCUUUUUAGACGUUAAAAUUCAUCGGUUAAGUUUUCCAAUGCGGAAAUAGUUAUAUUUAAACUUCGGACGAGACGAAGUGUCCAUGAGAAGACGAUGAAGUAAAGUAGUAUCCUGUCUCCUAACAAGUUCAUCUUCGACAUCCGAGUGAGCUGGAGAAUCCAUUGGUGUAUAAAAGUUACGUGGCGGUUCGAUCGAACUGUAUUGAUGUGGAUCCGCGGUGGUAGCUUGAAUGAGAGGUGCUCUUUCUGCGUUUGACAUGUCUGCAAAAAAUUUAAUAAUAAAAUAUAGAUAUUGUAUGUGUAUUAAUUUCAAAUUUGUGGUUUGAAUAAAAUAUUGUAUUCGGGUUUAAUUAACUGAACUGACCAGUUACUACCAAA
RNAcentral lists this long non-coding RNA (569 nucleotides) under Polistes fuscatus (common paper wasp). RNAcentral describes it as "uncharacterized LOC122522585". Lineage: Eukaryota; Metazoa; Arthropoda; Insecta; Hymenoptera; Vespidae. The record is from RNAcentral.